Molecule: long non-coding RNA, 4858 nt
Filed under: Dasypus novemcinctus (nine-banded armadillo)
Lineage: Eukaryota; Metazoa; Chordata; Mammalia; Cingulata; Dasypodidae
Description: lncRNA (ENSDNOG00000051264.1)
Source: RNAcentral
AUGUGGCUGACCGGGCGACCAUCCGCAGCGACAGAGCAGGCAAGGGAACGGAUCAGUCCAGAACAGCCACCGGAGGAGAGACCGGCCACGAGAGGUGGACAAUACCUUACCUCGAAUUUCCGGAAUGUCAGGUGUGGAGGGAGACCGGGGCCGGCCAAUCAACCCGUUAGGGGAUCGUCCAGGCACCCAGCUCCCAGGUUUCAGCACCAGAAUGUAAGAAAAUUCUCUGGGCCAGAGUCGGAUCAGGCUUUACUGGAGGAAAACCUGCCAGGCAGUACUCUCAGAUUAAACCAUGGUUUCUCAGUCACCAAGUGGAGCGUCCUCAUUUAUAGUACAAUUAAUAUCAAUACUCGGACUUGAAGGCAUUUGAGUUUCAAUCAACAUUCUUCACAAGCUUUCAUCUUUGCUCCGUGAUUUUUCAAUAAUAUAGUUGCUGAUGAAUCACUGCUUUAUUUUUUGCUUUUUUUCUAUUUACAAAUAUGUACACAUUUGGUCACAUUUGAAACAGUAUCUGAGUAACACUGUUCUGCAGCAUGCUACCCCUGCCAAAACAGUUGGUGUUUUUCACUAGGGCUUAAUUGUCUUGAUUGCCACUACCGAAACCCAGGAUAGGCCAUUCACUUUAGCAGCCAGAAGGGACAGUGACAGCAGUGAUGGCCCCUGCUUGCAGUAUAGGGAGGAGUUUUUAGUUGUAAUACAGGAUUCUGGUCAGCUAACUUCAAGCACCAGGAAAAAGAAGACAGGACUUGAUUUUGGAAUAAUUAGUACAGUGCUGAUAAUAGAGUGGUAAUAGUAUCAUGAUGACAAUGCCAUCAUUGUCAAAUAAGCACUCCACUCCAUUGAGUGCAAGGGAUGAACUAAACCUGGAAGGGAAAUCAGAUUUUCACCCUAACCUAUCAUCUAUCCCAUCAUCUCUUUUAUUUUCUGAAUUCAAUUGAUUUUCAGACAUCAAAAUUCUUGGAAAUAUUUCCAAGCAUUAUUUGAAAAUUCUAAACUUACUAUUGUCAACAAGUAAAAUGAAUUAAAUAUACAGACUGUGUAAAACCUCAGAUGCAUCAUUGUCAUUCUUUACCACUGGCAUUACCAACUAAUAACUUUCAAAGUGUUGAAACAUUCAAAAGAAUUUGCCUCCCUCAGGGAGAAAUAAAGCAGAAAAAGAACAUGGAGGGCAUCUAUUUUUAGAAGCAGUGAUUUCACAGAUAUCAGAAAACCAGUGAACCAAAUCAAUUGUCACAUUUAAAGCAGGGGAAAGGCUGCUCUCUAUUAGAGAAAACAGAUUAAAUCAUUUGGCCCAGUGUGUAAGCAAACUUCAAGAAAAAGUUCUAUAAUGUUUUAUGAAAACUUAUCAAAAUUAAAAUCAAUGUUUGAAUACAAAUUUGGGUGAAAAUAUUUAUUAAGAUGUUUAAAUGUGUCAAACAGAAAUAAAACAUGCCAAGUGGUAAAAUGAACCUUACGAUGAUUAAGUAAAUACUUUUAAAUCAAACUUAAAUGCACGUUCCUAUUUCUUUUUUCAAUAAGGCGAGUCCUAUCCUGGACCAGAGUCAACAGGGCUGACUCCCACUUAAAGGGAAGGUGUAAAAAUCUAAAGGCUCCAAGAGAAACAGAACAGAACAAAGCAGUCUUUUUAAAAUCACUUUAGGGCCAGAUCGCUUCAUUCCGGGCACAGCACCUCGCAAGCUUGACGUCCCACUUGACCAAGCGUGCUCAGCUGUUUUGAAGUGCUGUGAUAAAGAAACAAGCCCACUUCCCUUUUAUAAACACAAUAUAUAAGCUGCUCUCUGGAAAGGACCCCGCAGGUUACUGCCCAUUGCUUUUGGUGAGCUCAUGCUUUGACUCCGUCUGAUGUCUCACGCUAUAAAUCCCAGAAUAGCGACUCUCAGCUCCCCCAAGCCAGUCCAGGAGUCAGCACAUCCGCUAUCAAGGGCAAAGCUGGAGCCCCUUUGGACAUUGUAUGGGGAGAGGGGGUGACUCACUUGUAUUGGCAAUACAAUGCAAUACAAUACAAUUCAAUACAAUUCACUUGAAUUGGCAGUCUAGUUCCCUGGAGAGAGGGCACGACUAUCUAGUAUUCAUCUUUACAAUCUCAAAGCCUGGGACCAUGACAAGCAAUAAAUACUCAAUAAAACUGAAGGCAGGGAGGGAGAGCCGGGAGGGAAGGCAAGAGAGAGGCUCAUCUCACUAGUCAACCAAUGCACUGAUCAAACGUAGGCUUCGGAGUGUGAAUCCUGCUGCCUGCAGCUUAUUCCCACCUGCACACACCUUUCAAAGCAGCUUGAUUUACUUGAAAGGCCAUGGACUUGGUGGUCAGACUUGGUCCCAGCCCCAACUCCUCCCCUUCCCAGCCUCCAUGAGCGUCACAAUUUGGUGUGUAAAAUGGGAAGUGUUAUUCCUAAAGAGCAGGAUGGCUGGUGGACAGUACUGCAGUUGAGGACUUACAGCAGACACCUGUGAAAGAAGAGCUGUCCCUCCCCCCACCCCGCCCCAAGCCCACCUCAGGGAGGUGGGUUCAUUACCAAAGGCAUCCCACGGCGCAGGUCUCCACGGAGGGGUAUCCUUCACCUCCUUUCAGCAACUUCUGAACUAACACAUAAAUUCCAUCUCAAUCCGUUUUUUUAUUGUGCACUCAGUUUACCAUCGAAUGGCCACAACUACCACUGUUGUUUCCUAUAACACGAUCCUGCUUAAGGCAAGAGGUUCUCUAAAAACCAGGGUACAGGCGUGGAUGCGAUCAAAUGACCAACAGUGGCACUUGUUGGCUAAACUGGAGGACUCAGAGGUGUUUGGGGUCUUUACGGUGAUAAGAACAAGGACAGGGGUCGUGGCAAUGAAAGAGGAAGUGCAAAGAGAAGGCCCUCCAGAGAGAGGUAAGCAGGCCAGCAGACUAAUGCUUUUGGCUAGGGAAGUACUUUAGUGCCUCUUUUCUUUUAUGUUUAAAUGGCAAAGCCUCUUGUGAGAAUCCAGUGGAAUCAACACUUGACUCCACCGUAGCUGUUUUUAUUUGUGAAUCCAAAAUGAAAGAUCAUGUUUGAAAACUAAUCUCUUCCUCUGGUGUGAUACCCUUUGAUUGUGUGAAAUUCAGUUGAGGGACCUCUGAUUACAUGUUAGGAUUGCUGUAGGGCUUUUUAUUGGACUAUGUCAGUGAGGCAUGACUCAGGUUGAGUCCCACGCCCUUGUUGGGUCUGAUGAAAAUGGACACUCAGACACAGGAGGACUCUGCCAUUUUUGAUCCUGCCAUGUGACACGACUCAAAUAGCUGAGGCCCUGGGAAAGAUGAGCCGUUUCCCUGACAGCUCACAGCUGAGCUUGGGAGGAGAGCAGAUCAGUGUAGACGGAUACAGGAGACCCUGGAAGAAACAAGUCCUGUGCCAGGAGGGAGAGGACCACAGGAUCGCUUGAGCCCCAAGUCCCAAGCCCCAAGAGGCUGGGCCCACAGAGCUCAAGAGGGAAGGGGAAGCCCAGAGGGGAAGGAGAAACCUGGCAGAGAUCAGUGGUCAUCUUGCUUCACACGUGACCACACACUGGGAUCAACAUACUGAUUCUGGUGACAAAGCAUCUCUGAUGGUGCCUUGGUUUGGACUUUUCAUGGCCUUGGAAUUGUGUAAACUUUUACCCCUGUAUUAGUCAGCCAAAGGGGUGCUGAUGCAAAAUACCACAAAUGGGUUGGUUUUUACAAAGGGUAUUUAUUUGGGGUAGGAGCUUACAGAUACCAGGCCAUAAAGCCUAAGUUACUUCCCCCACCAAAGUCUAUUUUCACGUUGGAGCAAGAUGGCUGCUGACGUCUGUGAGGGUCCAGGCUUCCUGGGCUCCUCAGGGCUCAGCAUCUCUGUUUUCUCCACAAGGUCAGCUGUAGACUAGCAGUGAAUGGCUCUGUCUCUCUCUCUGGGGGUCCAGCUUAAGACCAGCAUCAACCUCCAACAUGAAAACUCCAACAUGAACAGCCCCAACCGGGUCCUUUGCCAUGCCUUUUACCUACGAAUCCCCACCCAGCAAGGGGCGGGUACUCAACGCCCUAUUGGCACAAGAGGCUUACUUGAUUAAGUAAUCAAGUAAACCUCUGCAUCCAAUAUAAUCUCAUAAGCCCACAGGAAAAGACAGUUUACAAACAUAAUCCAAUAUUUCUUUUUGGAAUUUAUCAAUAAUAUCAAGCUGCUGCAACCCCCAAAUAAAUCCCCUUUAUAAAAGCCAGGAGAUUUCCGGUACUUUGCAUCGGCAGCCCUUUGGCAAACUAAAAUACCACCCAACUUCAACCAUGCCCCAGUGGCCUAUCACUCCAGUUCUGGGCCUAAAUUAAGCCUUGGACGUGGCAUUGUAAUGAAGGAGGUCGUCAUAACUCCUAACAGAAGUCUGGUGCACCACCGUCCUCACUUUCCCAUUUUCUCCCUCUCUCUCCUUUGUGCAGCACCUCGAUUACUUCCUUCCUCCUCCUGGCUAUCCCUCCUCUUUGUCCUGUAGCGUAUACUUUCCUAAGCCCUUCCCCCACUCCCGACAUGUAUACAGGAAGACUGUCCUCACUGUAGCAGGCUGAAUAAUUGCCCCAAGAGCUCAGGCCCUCAUCCCUAGAACCUGCAAUAUAACCUUAUUUGGAAAAAGGGCCUUGGCAGACAAAAUUAAAGAUCUUGAGAUGCGGAGAAUAUCCUGGCAGGGCCCUGAAGAAAGAGGUAGAGGGAGAUCUGACCGUGUGUCCACGGAGGCAGAGAUAGGCAUGGCGGGGCCACAGCCAAGGAGCGCCAGCAGCCACCAGAAGCUGGCAAAGCCGGGAACGGACUCUCGCCUCGAGCCUUUGAAGGGCGCACGGCCAGGCCAAUACCUUGCCUUUGGCCUAGUGGUACCGACGGCAGACUCCUGGUCUCCAGAACUG